CCUACGGGGGGCAGCAGUGAGGAAUAUUGGUCAAUGGACGAGAGUCUGAACCAGCCAAGUAGCGUGAAGGAUGACUGCCCUAUGGGUUGUAAACUUCUUUUAUAUGGGACUAAAAUGUUCCACGUGUGGGAUUUUGUAUGUACCAUAUGCAUAAGGAUCGGCUAACUCCGUGCCAGCAGCCGCGGUAAUACGGAGGAUCCGAGCGUUAUCCGGCUUUAUUGGGUUUAAAGGGAGAGUAGGUGGAUUGUUAAGUCAGUUGUUAAUGUUUGCGGCGCAACCGUAAAAUUGCAGUUGAAACUGGCAGUCAUGAGUACAGUAGAGGUGGGGGGAAUUCGUGGUGUAGCGGUGAAAUGCUUAGAUAUCACGAAGAAUUCCGAUUGCGAAGGCAGUUCACUGGACUGCAACUGACACUGAGGCUCGAAAGUGUGGGUAUCAAACAGGAUUAGAUACGCCUGUAGUC
RNAcentral lists this ribosomal RNA (460 nucleotides) under uncultured bacterium. RNAcentral describes it as "partial 16S ribosomal RNA". It matches the Rfam family "Bacterial small subunit ribosomal RNA", at positions 338 to 795 of the family's 1533-position model. The record is from RNAcentral.